This 2335-nucleotide long non-coding RNA is filed under the name Oreochromis niloticus (Nile tilapia). RNAcentral's name for it is "lncRNA (ENSONIG00000032423.1)". Lineage: Eukaryota; Metazoa; Chordata; Actinopteri; Cichliformes; Cichlidae. The record is from RNAcentral.
UGUAUUAAACUGAGAUAUUUUACUGUUUCAUGAGAUCAUUUUGUAUUUGAUGGCAGCAGAUCUCAGGUCAGUGACAUGAUCGGGUACAAAGAGUCUGAGAGAGGCCGAGUUUCUCUGAAAUAAACAAGUUGAUCAGUCUGCACAUCUGCAGAGGCUCCAUCAGAGCUGACAGGUGGAUGCAGAGGAAACAUGAGCCCGUCCAGCGUUUACAGACGUGUUGCUGCCAUCAGAUUCAAAAUGAGCUCUCUCAGUUUAAACAUGUGAAAUGUUUUCUAUCUUCUAUUGUGAAUAAAAUGUGGCUUCAUGAGAUUUGAACAUUAUUUGACACCAACGACCUUUUUGCAGCUGUAAAUGUUUAGUUUGUCACAACCAGAUCAAAAAGUAAGAACUUGUUGUGAUUUGUGUAAAAUGUGUGAGGCUGAGUUCCUGCUGUCACUGAUGCAGCUCACAUGUAUCAGCCUCACCCUCCUCGUGCUUCAUGCUGCCUGGAUUUAAUCCUCACUUCCUUUCUGUGGCUCUUUGUAAGAUCUCUGAUCACUUUCAUUAAAGUUCUCACUGACUGUUGGAUCUCUUCAUAUUUUACAGUGAUGAGAUUUUCUGCUUCUGAGGAAGUGAAGAAGAACCUGACGGGCACUGUGGGAGGAAACAUCACUCUACCUGCACCUGUGCAGGAGAAAGCAUUUCUGUCAUAUGGAGGAAAGAAUAUUGCUGAUGUGAAUAAGGGGGAAUUUGAAAUAUUUGGGGAAAUUUACAUGAACCGACUUCAGUGGGACAGAAACUCUGGACUCUUUACACUCACAGAGCUGCAGAGGGACGACUCAGGGAUUUAUACUGUCGACUCUAAAACAGGAAACGUUUUCACAUCAUCAUAUAAGCUGACAGUGUACGACUCUGUACCGACUCCUGCAGUGAAGAAAGUGAGUGUGAGCUCUGAGAGCUGCUCCUUACUGUGUUUGGUGGACAGAGAGACCACACUGCUGUGGUUUAAAGACGAGCAGAGACUGAACCAGAGCAGCUCUGCGCUCUCUCUGCCUCUCACUGUGCACAAACAGGACUUCAGCUCCUCUUACAGAUGUGUGGCUGCAAACCCUGCAGACGAGAAAACUCUUCCUGUCCCUGUGAAUACGACCUGUGGAGACACAGACGACACAGGUAAGACUGAAUCUGCUGUGAACCUUCGUGUUUCAGGCUGAUGUGCUGAUGUGAACGUGUGUGUCAGGUGACAGGAACACAGACUCCUGGUUGUUCCUGGUUCCCAUGGCUGUGUGUUGGAGUGCUGUUGUUGUUUCGAUGGUUCUGAUGGAGGGGAAGAGAGAGGCUGAGACGGCUUCACCAUCAGCUGUGCACUCACAUCAGUACGAACUCUGCUGCCUACAUGAUAACAAAGCACACAUACACUGUGUGUGUUUUAUAUUAUCCCUCCUUAUUUUACAUAUAUCUUCCUUAUUUUCUAUUUCAUCUUAACAGGUGUGACCUUCACUGAAACACUGGAAAUAACAACGCUUUUAGGUGCAGUUUGAAAUCGUCUUCUAAACCCGAGGAGAGGAACGUGAUCCAGAGCACAGCUGACCUCAAAAUGCAUGUUUUAGAGCAGAUUUUAGCUCUAAAUAUAUUAUUUCAUGCAGGUUUUCCCAGCAUAUAUCUUAUUACCAUUACUCUUCUGACUACACACAGUUAUACCCCCUGCCCCUCUGUGAUUUAAACGCAGCUCACACAGUAUAAAGGCUAACUCCAGCUGGAUGGAUAAAAUCGAAACAUAAAAGAAACAUAAAUGUUCUUUUGAAAUGUUGCACAGAUUUGAAACUCUGAGGUGAUCACAGGCCUCAUUCUCACAUGAGCAGCAUAGUUAAAACCUGCUUUUUACCAUCAGUGAAUGUGCAUGAAAUGCUGAAUGCUUCUGAUCCUGGAGGAUUGUAACUCACUGCUCACAGGAAUCACAAAACAGCAGCAGACUCUGCUUCAGCUCCUGGGUUUGAGUUUAAAAUGGGAAUCCGUCUACGAGCUGCACUGAGAUCAUCACAUCAGGUUUCCAGUUAGUUUUGUGGUUGAUUUUUAAAUCUCAGGGAUGUUUUUAAGGCCUGUGUGUCUGGGAGCUCAGUAUCUCUCUGCUGCUCUCACCUCCAUCGCGUUUAAAGGAGAAGUGGAGAGGAGAGGUGGACUGAUGUUUCCUCAACUCAUCUCUAAUCACACCUGAGAGGUUAAAGGUCAGCAUCCAGCCUUUUGUGUUUGAAAUGAUGAAGAGUACUAUAAACUAACAGAGUUUAUCUACAUGUGCUUUUGGUAAAAAUAAAUCCUCUUUAUUAUUAAUCAAAGAAGAGUUUCUGUUGUAUUGUUG